CAUCCUGCCUUCGCUGGGCGGGGAUGACCUAGUGCAACCCUGCCUGCUGAAUGCACAGGGUUUGGUGCUGUUGCCAGAAUGGAGCCACUGCCGUCAUGUGGGAUCCACAGAGGCUGAGGAAGAGCAACCUGACUCCCAGCACACCCCAAUACACCUGCAGCCCCUCCAGAGAGACCCAGCUGCUACCAUAGGAUAAGCCACAACCUUACACUACAGCCACUGCAGGACCAACCAGACCUUUUGGAAUCCCCCUCUCUCCAACCCUGUAACGGUGUGCUCUUCCAAUAUGCUCCCCCACUUGAAGCUCCACAAUUGCAGGGACUCGGUGGGAUCCCAUGACUGCCUCCCUCCUUACCUGUCACGUUCAGCUGCCCACCCAGGAACCAGGAGACCCUGCCCUGGUGCAGAUCGCAGUCCUGGACAGAGUGGAAGGGGGUGAUCCAGGGGUCACAAGAGAGGGGCAGAAAAAGGCUCUCCCUGCAAGUAGAGCUGUUCUCAGUAAGGCACUCUGAUGGGAUCAACAGCAGACAUGAGAGGUUGGACACCAGCAUGGGGAACAGGAUCUAUCUGCCGUCAGGUACACUCAUCGCACACUAUACACCUGGUUAGUAUCAGAGCUGCCCCGAGAAAAUGGCACAUAAAUCACAGAUGCUGGAUGACUAGAAGUUGUUACAGCUCCAUAUCUCAAACACCUCAAUACUGAAUUCUUUUCUCACUGUAUAUACAUUAUUUACACCCCAUGGGCUAAAUCUAACACGUCAAACGACCAGGGGACAAAGACAAACAGGGGUUGGAUGAGCGGGCUGAACAUUUGACAGAAGAAAAACUGUGGGGAAAGGGUGCUCACAGCUGAAAGCAGGACAGAAAGGGGCACCUGGAAGUCACUGUCCUACAGCUUUUGGAGGGGGAAUAGUGCCCUACUGGGAUGGAAAGGUGAUGGUACCAUGGAGUGGGUUUGGCUGUGUGAGUCUGCAUGUGCUUAUAUGGCAUGUAUGUACACAUUACAGGGGGUAUCAGAGUGGACGUGCAUGGCUGUCAUUCCCUUUAACACUCAGAGGGUGAACUGGACAAAUUUAAAUCAAUAAAUACAUUAGGUGGAUGUUGUUGUCUCACCUGCAAUAAUGUAUUCAGUAAAUAAUUUCACCAUCUGGCCUCUCUGCAGGGGUGCAGGGCUUUGGCAUUUGGGGCAGAGUCAGACCCAAUUGUCCAGCACUGCAGGAGCCAGCAACAUGGGUUGGGGUCACCCCGAGUUGCCAGGUGGGACCAGGGUGUUUUGCCUGUGGGCUAAACCUGCCUCUCCUUGCCAAACAGGGGCAAAACAUAACCGGCCUAAAGUUGCAGCCCCUUCCCAGCAGACCCCAGUGCUGGGCAGGGAGAGAUGGGAGGAAAGUGCAAACUACCCUGCAUGGAUAGUCAUCAUUUCAUGCAAACACUGCCAUGGGCUUGCCCUGCUGUGGCCUGGGCCAAAGGCAGAGGUGAUGGCCAGGGGAAGGUAGUGGGUCUGCCUGGGGCAUGGUGGAAUAGGGCACAAUGGGAAGGGACCUAGGCAGCACUGGGGAGAGAAGUGCACCAAGGAGGGCCAUGGCAGCAGGGGACAUUGCUUCAGGAUGGCAGAUGGGCUUUGGGGCUGCAACAGCAGGAAAAAGCCCCAGAGACAGUCAUGAGGCUGAAGGGACCAGAGCCUUGGUGCCCUCUCGGGUGGCAAUGAUGAUGUGCGUCCCCCAAAAGGAAGGGGUGGGGAGUAAGGAAGGCCUGGUGGGGCAGAGGACUGAGGGACAAGGGUAUGCUCAAGGGGAGCAGGCAAUGGGCACCCCUGCCAGGCAGCCCCAAACACAGAAACCAGGGCCCUGCUCCCUGGCAGGGGUGGCCAGGGAGGCCUGACAGUCUGAGUAGGAACGUGGUCCCCAGAGGACAGAGUGUCUGUCGGGGCUGGCUUCCACCG
This is a long non-coding RNA of Neopelma chrysocephalum (saffron-crested tyrant-manakin), 1942 nucleotides long. RefSeq lists it as uncharacterized. The transcript is spliced from 4 exons. The record is from RefSeq and is a predicted model, not a curated record. NCBI's taxonomy places the organism in Eukaryota, Metazoa, Chordata, Aves, Passeriformes, Pipridae.